CAAUAAGCGGAGGAAAAGAAACCAACAGGGAUUGCCCUAGUAACGGCGAGUGAAGCGGCAACAGCUCAAAUUUGAAAUCUGGCUCUUUCAGAGUCCGAGUUGUAAUUUGCAGAGGGCGCUUUGGCGUUGGCAGCGGUCCAAGUUCUUUGGAACAGGACGUCACAGAGGGUGAGAAUCCCGUACGUGGUCGCUAUCCUUCGCCGUGUAAAGCCCCUUCGACGAGUCGAGUUGUUUGGGAAUGCAGCUCUAAAUGGGAGGUAAAUUUCUUCUAAAGCUAAAUACUGGCCAGAGACCGAUAGCGCACAAGUAGAGUGAUCGAAAGAUGAAAAGCACUUUGGAAAGAGAGUCAAACAGCACGUGAAAUUGUUGAAAGGGAAGCGCUUGCAGCCAGACUUGCCUGUAGUUGCUUAUCCGGACUUUUGUCCGGUGCACUCUUCUAUAGGCAGGCCAGCAUCAGUUUGGGCGGUUAGAUAAAGGUCUCUGUCAUGUACCUCUCUUCGGAGAGGCCUUAUAGGGGAGACGACAUGUAACCAGCCUGGACUGAGGUCCGCGCAUCUGCUAGGAUGCUGGCGUAAUGGCUGUAAGCGGCCCGUCUUGAAACACGGACCAAGGAGUCUAACAUCUAUGCGAGUGUUUGGGUGUCAAGCCCAGACGCGUAAUGAAAGUGAACGGAGGUAAGAACCCUUUGGGUGCAUUAUCGACCGAUCCUGAUGUCUUCGGAAGGAUUUGAGUAAGAGCAUGGCUGUUGGGACCCGAAAGAUGGUGAACUAUGCUUGAAUAGGGUGAAGCCAGAGGAAACUCUGGUGGAGGCUCGCAGCGGUUCUGACGUGCAAAUCGAUCGUCAAAUUUGGGCAUAGGGGCGAAAGACUAAUCGAACUAUCUAGUAGCUGGUUCCUG
Molecule: ribosomal RNA, 897 nt
Filed under: Ophiobolus cirsii
Lineage: Eukaryota; Fungi; Ascomycota; Dothideomycetes; Pleosporales; Phaeosphaeriaceae
Description: eukaryotic LSU rRNA
Rfam family: Eukaryotic large subunit ribosomal RNA
Source: RNAcentral